RNAcentral lists this transfer RNA (74 nucleotides) under Alosa alosa (allis shad). Its description in RNAcentral is "tRNA-OTHER". Lineage: Eukaryota; Metazoa; Chordata; Actinopteri; Clupeiformes; Clupeidae. The record is from RNAcentral.
ACAGCCAUGGCCUACUGGUUAGGGCUUCGGGCUUGUAACCGUAGGGUUGCCGGUUCGAUCCCCGACCAGUAGGA